RNAcentral lists this long non-coding RNA (2790 nucleotides) under Gossypium barbadense (sea-island cotton). RNAcentral describes it as "long non-coding RNA (GBAR_LNC008194)". The record is from RNAcentral. Lineage: Eukaryota; Viridiplantae; Streptophyta; Magnoliopsida; Malvales; Malvaceae.
UUCGAAGGUGGUGUUGAAGUGUAGAUAAGAGGGCUUGUCGUGAUUUUUUGUUUCGGGAGCAAUUGGGUAAGACUACUGCAUGUCCAUUGUUCCUUUCAAAACUGAGUAUGCUGAAGCAAUAUUUUGGCCACCAGCCUACUGGGGCCUAAGACUCUCUCCCAAAAGUGACCUAGCCUGCACCAGGCCAAAACACCAAGUAUUCAUUUCCUGUCAACAUCCUUCUCCGCCAGUAACCUAAUCUGCUCCUCAAGUCUACCACCAUUUCAUUGACCCAAACAUCCUUUACCCGUGCUUUUUUUAGCCAAUAGCCCAGAUUGUUUCCCCCACCCCUUGUCAUUUAAUUUUUUAAUAAAAGCACAUUGCUGAAACCUAGUUCCCCCCAUUUUCGAUUGUUUCGCCUCCAUUCCCAUAGAUUGUGUUUCCAAUGAAGAUAACAUUUCAAAUAUGGAACCAGACAGAUUUUUUUUUGAGAUGUUCGCCUUUAGAUUUUGGUUGCCAACCUGAUCGCUCUUAGAUUUGCGCUCAACAACCAUCCACAGACCGAAGGCUUCUCCUAUCGUUACCGAAAUUGGCUUGUUGUUUAUCAGGCUAGAAGGAUCCUCUUUACCACUGUGAGUGUUUCGAUCUGCCAAAGAAGAAGGACAAAGACUUUUAAGAUGACCAUAUUUUCCACAUGAAAAACAUAACUCAAUUAAAGCCUCAAACUCCACUUGCUACACCUGGCCAUUGACCACAACUUGCGCGGUAAGCAGGUUUCCCAGAUCUACAAACGCGACCAUUCUAGUGAAUUUCCCUAUUGCUUCACUAAUCAUUUUAAUAUCUAGUUUUUCCACUUUCCUGACCAAGCUUCCAAUCUCCUUUAAUAUCUGUUUUUUGUACAGGAAUCUCGGCAGGCUCGAAAAGCAGAUCUAGGCCAAAGCCUCAGUUGGGAAACAUUUUAAGGGGUCAAAGUCCACCGUCCACGGCUAGAUUGUAAAAUAGUUUCUAAACACUUUCCAUGGACCUUGAGUUAGCGUCAUAUCAUAGUCAUCUUAUUUUGGAAUCGGACUAGGUAAUACCCAUUUGUUACAUCGAUUAUGUGAAAAGGUUGAGAGGGUUUUCAGAGGCUGAUAAUACGAUUAUAUAAGACUCCAUGCCCUAUAUUGCGUCCCAAUAACUUGACAACAACAGUAUUUUCCAUAUCCUUUACUAGAAUUUUUUUCAAGCAAUCAGAAAAGUCGAUAGUGGGAAUUCCAUUGAUGGUGGAUCUGAGGAUAUCACAAUCCUUAAACUCUAGGUCCAAAUCAGUGGCACUAUUAAGAGAUCCAGAACCCGUCCCUCCCAAAAUUUUAUCUUUCCAUGAAAAUCCACGGAGCCAUAUCUACCACCAUAUUCUCCAUUGAGCCAUCACUUUCAUCCUGAAACCUAACUUUUUUGGUGUUACGAUCCACGUUAGUGCUAUCACCGUCACUAACCCGAUCAUCAGACAAAAUCUCAAAGUUGUUCAUCACCGAAUGUUUUUUUUUCAAUGAAAUUAAAUUUUUAAAUUCAAUUUUGAUGGGUAUUAAAUGUAUCUUUUAAUUUAAAUACAAUAAACCUAUACAUGUAUAUAUAAGUACUAAUUUACACUAUUAUUAAUUAAAGGCACAUUGAUUGUUUUAUAAUUAUAAUCAAUAUUAUCAUCUGCACAUAUUAAAUUAUUUAAUUUUACUUGUUAAAUAACAUAAUAUUAGAUUCAUAUUUGAAAGAUUUUUAUAGUUAUUAGAAUUAUAAUUAAUUUAUACUCUAUGUAAAUCUGCACGAGUAAGAAAACUAGGGUAUAUAUUCAACUCUAAUUUACUAAUAACAUAAGGUAAGGUAGUUCAGCCCUAUUUUUGUACAACUACAGCUCCUUGGUGGGAAUGAAAAAAAGCCAAUACCUCUAUCACAAAAUAAGGCAAAGACUAUAUUAAGAUUAUAAAACAACUGAAAAUACAUAUGAUUAUACCCAAAAAGAAAUUCAAAAUAUUGUAAACUUAUUUUUAACAUCACAAUUACAUGCUUGGCUCCAUUUUGAAUUCUAGACUUCAUUUACCUUAGUUUUUCUUUAUUAAUGUCUCAAAUUUUAUAAGAUUUUUGUACUGUUAAUUUUGAAUUUAAUUAGGAAUGAGCUUUUCAUUUUUAUAUUUGAUUGUUUUGUUUUUUUUCCUAUUAUUUUAAGGUUGAUAGCAGUUGAAUAUGAUCCUUUUGUGAUCGACAUUCCAAAGGUUUUCAUGCGUAUAGGUUUAGAAUACUUUAUUUUCAUUUUUAUUUAUUGUUCUUUUGAAUUUGUUUCAUGCUAAUAAUAAAAAAAAAAGAUGUCUUAACAUUGGGUAAGGUUUUUUUAGGUGUUUUCAUUCUUUCCAAUUUUGAAUUUUAAAACCAACAAUCCCAACUGGACAAAGGGUGGUGGUAUGGGAGUUCUUCUCUCAUAAAAAGUCGUUGCCCAUUCCUUUUAGGAAGUCCUAAUUUGACCAAAAUUCCCCCGUUCUUAUUAAUUUGAAACUCUAAAUGAGAACUAAAUUAUUGCAUAAAUUCAACUGCUCUGACCACUUUCUCAUUAAAAGCUACAACAAAGUAUUCUGAAGCUUUUCAACAGCCUUAUCAAGAACAUAGUUAAGCCUUGGUUCAUUUCUAAGCACUAUUUUAUUUUUUAUAGGCCAUAUCUCCAACAAUGUGAAUGCAAAGAUAAGAAACCAAGGGAGUUUCGGUUUAGGUAUCCACUCUUUUGCAUUAAGAUUGGCAUCAAGUCAUUGUUCCAUGCUUGACUGAAGGAAUGCUUUUUGCAGACUG